This 73-nucleotide transfer RNA is filed under the name Dendronephthya gigantea. RNAcentral's name for it is "tRNA-Val". It matches the Rfam family "tRNA". From Rfam's summary of the family: Transfer RNA (tRNA) molecules are approximately 80 nucleotides in length. Their secondary structure includes four short double-helical elements and three loops (D, anti-codon, and T loops). Further hydrogen bonds mediate the characteristic L-shaped molecular structure. tRNAs have two regions of fundamental functional importance: the anti-codon, which is responsible for specific mRNA codon recognition, and the 3' end, to which the tRNAs corresponding amino acid is attached (by aminoacyl-tRNA synthetases). tRNAs cope with the degeneracy of the genetic code in two manners: having more than one tRNA (with a specific anti-codon) for a particular amino acid; and 'wobble' base-pairing, i.e. permitting non-standard base-pairing at the 3rd anti-codon position. The record is from RNAcentral. Lineage: Eukaryota; Metazoa; Cnidaria; Anthozoa; Malacalcyonacea; Nephtheidae.
GUUUUCGUAGUGUAGUGGUUUUCACGUGCGCUUUACACGUGCAAGGUCCCCAAUUCAAUCCUGGGCGGAAACA